GCUCUGACAAUAUUGCACUACU
This 22-nucleotide microRNA is filed under the name Ophiophagus hannah (king cobra). RNAcentral's name for it is "oha-miR-301b-5p". Its record names the gene oha-miR-301b-5p. Lineage: Eukaryota; Metazoa; Chordata; Lepidosauria; Squamata; Elapidae. The record is from miRBase by way of RNAcentral.